Molecule: ribosomal RNA, 449 nt
Filed under: uncultured bacterium
Lineage: Bacteria
Description: bacterial SSU rRNA
Rfam family: Bacterial small subunit ribosomal RNA
Source: RNAcentral
UGGGGAAUAUUGCGCAAUGGGCGAAAGCCUGACGCAGCGACGCCGCGUGGAGGAUGAAGGUCUUAGGAUUGUAAACUCCUGUCAGAUGGAAAGAAAGGUCUGCGUUUAAUAGACGCGAAAUAUGACGGUACCAUCAGAGGAAGCACCGGCUAACUUCGUGCCAGCAGCCGCGGUAAUACGAAGGGUGCAAGCGUUAUUCGGAAUCACUGGGCGUAAAGGGUGUGUAGACGGUAUAUUAAGUUCGUCGUUAAAGGCUCCGGCCUAACCGGAGUAUUGCGAUGAAAACUGGUAAGCUAGAGGGUGAGAGAGAGAAGUGGAAUUCCCGGAGUAGCGGUAAAAUGCGUGGAUCUCGGGAGGAACACCAAUGGCGAAGGCAGCUUCUUGGCUCAUUCCUGACGUUGAGGCACGAAAGCGUGGGGAGCAAACAGGAUUAGAUACCCCCGUAGUCC